Molecule: long non-coding RNA, 889 nt
Filed under: Rhinopithecus bieti (black snub-nosed monkey)
Lineage: Eukaryota; Metazoa; Chordata; Mammalia; Primates; Cercopithecidae
Description: lncRNA (ENSRBIG00000046633.1)
Source: RNAcentral
AUGUUUUCAUAACUUCUUUAGAAUGACCUGAAAAAGUUCUUAUGUAAUUGUUUACAAAACUCUUAGAGAUACAGAAAGAAGGUGCCUACUAGAGUUGCUAAAAUUUAAUUAUUUCUUCUAGGAAAACAUCUAAUAAUACUAUGAGAGUUGGUACAGAUUAUCUAAAAUAAUACAAAAGGUUAUAUAAUAGUGUAACAUUGCCAAGAAGUGGAUUAUCUCAUCUUCAUCCUGUAAUUCCAGUGUUUGUCACAUGGUUGUUGAAUAAAUGAAUAAAGAAUGAAAAAGCCAGAAGCUCUGAUACAUAGUCAUAAUGACAAUUAUUUCAAUGCACAACUAUGGGUGGUGCUGAACUACAAUCUAUAUUUUCUGCAACUGGCUCCUCUAGGAUCUACUAAUGAUUUAAGUCUAAAAGAUGAAGUUAGUAAAGCAUCAGAAAAAAAGGUACUAACUUUUAUUUUAAAAUUCUAUAAUAUAAAAAAUUGUAAUAUUUUAUUACUGGAAUGCUUACUUGAACUUUUAAUGGUUUUUUAUUUAACAUAAAACAUAUAAAAUUUUCUUAAAAGGAUAAUAUUUUUAUAUCAUACAUGUGUGGUGAAAAUUUAUGGCUGGGCGCGGUGGUUCACACCUGUAAUCCCAGCACUUUGUGAAGCCGAGGCAGGCAGAUCACAAGGUCAGGAGAUCGAGACCACGGUGAAACCCCAUCUCUACUAAAAAUACAAAAAAUCAGCAAGCCUUGCUGGCGGGUGCCUGUAGUCCCAGCUACUCAGGAGGCUGAGUCAGAAUGGCAUGAACCCGGGAGGCAGAGCUUGCAGUGAGCCGACAUUGCACUACUGCUGCACUCCAGCCUGGGUGACAGAGCAAGACUCUGUCUCAAAAAAAUUAAUUUUUU